This is a long non-coding RNA of Pogoniulus pusillus (Red-fronted tinkerbird), 493 nucleotides long. RefSeq lists it as uncharacterized. The transcript has 4 exons. NCBI's taxonomy places the organism in Eukaryota, Metazoa, Chordata, Aves, Piciformes, Lybiidae. The record is from RefSeq and is a predicted model, not a curated record.
CCUUGUGGCUCUCUGCUGGACUGUCUGCAGGAAGACCCUAUCUUUCUUGAACUGGGGAGCCUAAGAGUUGAGAAAAGAUAGAAGCAGUCAGAAAACAGCCUUCUGUUUCUAUUCCUGUGACGAAGAGCUUGGGCCCAGUUGCCACCUUGACAGAUGAGGCUACAAUUGUGGCUUGGAGUAACAAGGGACUGUCCAGUGAUAGGAUGUCAGUGGGAAAUGCCACUGUUCUAACACACUGCAAACACUGCCCCCUGAUGAUACAUCCUCCACCAACAGGGAAUUAAAUGGAUAAAGAAUAAAUAUGGAGCUGACCUUAAAGUUGUACAUUUAGGACAGAAAAGGUUGAACUGGCUUAAAGAAGAAAAAAAGAGGGAAAAGAGUAAGGGUGCCAUGGAUUGAGCUAAGCCAAGGCUGGCUGUACCUGAAGUUUGGUUUAUAUCCAUUUCCUGUGCUGACAAGGUCAUGCAGUAUCCAUCUUCUGCAAGCUAAGACA